CGCGCAGAGCCACGCAGCGAAGACUACACGGCGUUGCCGAGAGAAGUAGCAGAGGGAAGAAGGCGUGAUUGGGCGGUUGGGUUAGUUCUGAGUUAGAACCGGCGUCAAUGGAGGAUGACGAUAUGGAUUCGCUGUUUGAAGGAAUGGUGUUGUUCACUCCUUCCCAAUUGGCUGACGAACAGAAGCAUCAGCAGCAGCAGCAGCAAAAUGAUCACGAUCAAGAUCAUGAUCAUCAUAAUAUUGAAUCUCAAUCUCACGUCGAUACUGCUAAUGACAACAUUAACAAUAUUGCACCAUCACCUACAUCUCUCCGCAAGGUGCAGGAGCCUCUUGACGAGGACCUAUUCUCUGACCUCACCCUCCAAACCCUAACUACACAAUCAGAUCCUAUUCCUUCUAUUUCUCCUGCUGCUCCAGCACAAACUGCUAUCUCCCGCCAGAUAUCCAGAAAAAAGAAAAGAGCUGCUAGCCUCAGGAUCGGCUAUGGUAGAGAAGCCUCUCUUGAUGAUAUGCCUUCUCACUCUGCUCUACCUCCGCCUCUCCCUCCUAUGCCUACCCCUGAUCAUCCCUCUGCUUAUGCUGUUGACAAUCAAAAUCUCAGUCUCAAGCAUGAUGCUGAAUCCGAUGAUAUUAUUACUCAGUCUGAUAAAUCUGAUUCAGCAUUGAUGCCUCUCAAUCCACCACUCCCACUGUUUUAGCUGAUGGCGAUGAUGCAGAACUAGAUACCAGUAACAUUUCGAUCCCUGAUUCACAACCAUCGUCCAAAGAUGAUGAAUUUGAACACAUUAAGGCCUUGAUUUCUGAGAAGCUUCAGCGCUCUCGGCAAUUAGCUGCCUCUGUCUCUGGAGCUCGCAAGGACGCCGUUAGGAGGAGAAGAAAAGCUACCGACGAUCUCAAUUUGGCUUCUGCCAAGCACAGGGACCUUGAAUUGCAGUUGGAGAAUGCCUGUGAGGCCGAAGAUUUCGAGGCUGCUGAAAGGAUUAGUGACAGCCUUGCCACCAUUGACAAGGAGAGGCAAGCCCUUCUCGCUACUCUCAGAGACGCUGAAGCCCAGUGUGAUACCGUUGAUUCUAAGAUGCACGACGUUCUCGAUUCUCAUAUUGUUGCUGAGCAAGAAUGCGCAACUCUUCUCUCUAAUUUUGCCAAGGAUGCGGAAAACGAGGCAGAUUCAGUCUUGAAGCAAGCUCAAGAACUUUCUUCUAAAGAAAUGGAUGAAUGGUUCUUAUC
This 1227-nucleotide unclassified non-coding RNA is filed under the name Hevea brasiliensis (rubber tree). The record is from RNAcentral. Lineage: Eukaryota; Viridiplantae; Streptophyta; Magnoliopsida; Malpighiales; Euphorbiaceae.